UACGUAGGGUGCAAGCGUUGUCCGGAAUUAUUGGGCGUAAAGAGCUCGUAGGCGGUUUGUUGCGUCGGCUGUGAAAUCCCGAGGCUCAACCUCGGGUCUGCAGUCGAUACGAGCAAACUAGAGUGUUGCAGGGGAGACUGGAAUUCCUGGUGUAGCGGUGAAAUGCGCAGAUAUCAGGAGGAACACCAGCGGCGAAGGCGGCGCUCUGGGCCGGAACUGACGCUGAGGAGCGAAAGCGUGGGGAGCAAACAGG
Molecule: ribosomal RNA, 253 nt
Filed under: uncultured bacterium
Lineage: Bacteria
Description: partial 16S ribosomal RNA
Rfam family: Bacterial small subunit ribosomal RNA
Source: RNAcentral